GACGAACGCUGGCGGCGUGCUUAACACAUGCAAGUCGAACGGAAAGGCCCUGCUUUUGUGGGGUGCUCGAGUGGCGAACGGGUGAGUAACACGUGAGUAACCUGCCCUUGACUUUGGGAUAACUUCAGGAAACUGGGGCUAAUACCGGAUAGGAGCUCCUGCUGCAUGGUGGGGGUUGGAAAGUUUCGGCGGUUGGGGAUGGACUCGCGGCUUAUCAGCUUGUUGGUGGGGUAGUGGCUUACCAAGGCUUUGACGGGUAGCCGGCCUGGGAGGGUGACCAGCCUCAAUGGGACUGGGAUACGGACCAGACUCCUACGGGCGGCAGCAGUGGGAAAUAUUGCACAGUGGGCGGGAGCCUGUGGCAGCAACGCCGCGUGCGGGAUGACGGCCUUCGGGUUGUAAACCGCUUUCGCCUGUGACGAAGCGUGAGUGACGGUAACGGGUAAAGAAGCACCGGCUAACUACGUG
RNAcentral lists this ribosomal RNA (468 nucleotides) under uncultured bacterium. RNAcentral's name for it is "partial 16S ribosomal RNA". It matches the Rfam family "Bacterial small subunit ribosomal RNA", at positions 28 to 507 of the family's 1533-position model. The record is from RNAcentral.